AUACGUAGGGUGCAAGCGUUGUCCGGAUUUAUUGGGUUUAAAGGGUGCGUAGGCGGUCUAUUAAGUCAGUGGUGAAAUCCAACAGCUCAACUGUUGAUGUGCCAAUGAUACUGAUGGACUUGAGUACAGACGAGGUAGGCGGAAUUGACAGUGUAGCGGUGAAAUGCAUAGAUAUUGUCAAGAACACCGAUAGCGAAGGCAGCUUGCUAGCCUGUAACUGACGCUGAGGCACGAAAGUAUGGGGAUCAAACAGGAUUAGAUACCCUGGUAGUCCAUACAGUAAACGAUGAUUACUCGAUGUUGGCGAUACACAGUCAGCGUCUUAGCGAAAGCGAUAAGUAAUCCACCUGGGGAGUACGCCGGCAACGGUGAA
This 373-nucleotide ribosomal RNA is filed under the name uncultured bacterium. RNAcentral's name for it is "bacterial SSU rRNA". It matches the Rfam family "Bacterial small subunit ribosomal RNA", at positions 523 to 898 of the family's 1533-position model. The record is from RNAcentral.